This 443-nucleotide ribosomal RNA is filed under the name uncultured Planctomycetia bacterium. RNAcentral's name for it is "bacterial SSU rRNA". It matches the Rfam family "Bacterial small subunit ribosomal RNA", at positions 1053 to 1505 of the family's 1533-position model. Lineage: Bacteria; Pseudomonadati; Planctomycetota; Planctomycetia. The record is from RNAcentral.
CGUCAGCUCGUGUCGUGAGAUGUCUGGUUAAGUCCGAUAACGAGCGCAACCCUUGUCUCUAGUUGCCAGCGAGUAAUGUCGGGAACUCUAGAGAGACUGCCGGUGUCAAACCGGAGGAAGGUGGGGAUGACGUCAAGUCCUCAUGGCCUUUAUGUCCAGGGCUGCACACGUGCUACAAUGGCGUAUACAGAGGGACGCAAAAUCGCAAGAUCAAGCAAAUCCCAAAAAGUACGCCCCAGUUCAGAUUGCAGGCUGCAACUCGCCUGCAUGAAGUUGGAAUCGCUAGUAAUCGCGGGUCAGCAACACCGCGGUGAAUGUGUUCCUGAGCCUUGUACACACCGCCCGUCAAGCCACGAAAGGGAGGGGCAUCCGAAGUCGCCACACUAAGUUGGUGCCGAAGAUGAAACUCCUGAUUGGGACUAAGUCGUAACAAGUACCAAUCG